UGGGGAAUAUUGCACAAUGGGGGAAACCCUGAUGCAGCAACGCCGCGUGAGUGAUGACGGCCUUCGGGUUGUAAAGCUCUGUCUUCAGGGACGAUAAUGACGGUACCUGAGGAGGAAGCCACAGCUAACUACGUGCCAGCAGCCGCGGUAAUACGUAGGUGGCAAGCGUUGUCCGGAUUUACUGGGCGUAAAGGGAGCGUAGGCGGACUUUUAAGUGAGAUGUGAAAUACCCGGGCUCAACCUGGGUGCUGCAUUUCAAACUGGAAGUCUAGAGUGCAGGAGAGGAGAGUGGAAUUCCUAGUGUAGCGGUGAAAUGCGUAGAGAUUAGGAAGAACACCAGUGGCGAAGGCGACUCUCUGGACUGUAACUGACGCUGAGGCUCGAAAGCGUGGGGAGCAAACA
This 402-nucleotide ribosomal RNA is filed under the name uncultured bacterium. RNAcentral's name for it is "bacterial SSU rRNA". It matches the Rfam family "Bacterial small subunit ribosomal RNA", at positions 355 to 774 of the family's 1533-position model. The record is from RNAcentral.